This 468-nucleotide ribosomal RNA is filed under the name uncultured bacterium. RNAcentral describes it as "partial 16S ribosomal RNA". It matches the Rfam family "Bacterial small subunit ribosomal RNA", at positions 28 to 507 of the family's 1533-position model. The record is from RNAcentral.
GACGAACGCUGGCGGCGUGCUUAACACAUGCAAGUCGAACGGAAAGGCCCUGCUUUUGUGGGGUGCUCGAGUGGCGAACGGGUGAGUAACACGUGAGUAACCUGCCCUUGACUUUGGGAUAACUUCAGGAAACUGGGGCUAAUACCGGAUAGGAGCUCCUGCUGCAUGGUGGGGGUUGGAAAGUUCCGGCGGUGGGGGAUGGACUCGAGGCUUAUCAGCUGGUUGGUGGGGUAGUGGCUUACCAAGGCUUUGACGGGUAGCCGGCCUGAGAGGGUGAACGGGCACAUUGGGACUGAGAUACGGCCCAGACGGCUACGGGAGGCAGCAGGGGGGAAUAUUGCACAAUGGGCGGAAGCCUGAUGCAGCAACGCCGCGUGCGGGAUGACGGCCUUCGGGUUGUAAACAGCUUUCGCCUGUGACGAAGCGUGAGUGACGGUAAUGGGUAAAGAAGCACCGGCUAACUACGUG